Molecule: ribosomal RNA, 120 nt
Filed under: uncultured bacterium
Lineage: Bacteria
Description: partial 16S ribosomal RNA
Rfam family: Bacterial small subunit ribosomal RNA
Source: RNAcentral
CACACAGUAAACGAUGAAUACUCGCUGUUUGCGAUAUACAGUAAGCGGCCAAGCGAAAGCAUUAAGUAUUCCACCUGGGGAGUACGCCGGCAACGGUGAAACUCAAAGGAAUUGACGGGG